GAUUGUUCAUGAGAAAAUUUUCGUUGAAACUUUUAAAAUUGUAAUAGUUGUAAAGUAAUUUCAUGGAAGUAAAUGAGAAAGAAAGGAAAAGAAAAGGAAAAAUUCAAAAAUUCUUUCUAUUUAAAAUCAUAAGAAUCAUAACAAACCUAAUAUUAAGAGUGAUGACCAGUCUGUUUUACUGAAUCUUGUGAUUAUUAGUGUAGUUUUAUUACUUAUUUUUGUUGCCUAAUGUACUAAAUGUAAACUUUUUGAGUAGUGAAAUGUAUGUAUUAAUUGUUUCUAACUUUUAAUUAUUUUCAUUUUUUUACUAAUACAACUUAUAUACAUGUAUUCGGGGUAGUUAUGGGGAUAAAAGAUUCAUCUCUCUCCUUAAAAUACUUUUUUAAUGUUACUUUUUCUGAUUUGGACUAAUUUUGUUACUAAAACGUUAACCUCAAGGAGGUUUCUGAAAUUAUCCCCACACAAAUAUACAAGGGUGUGUGUAUGUGAGUAUGCACAUACAAAUACACAUAUAUUAUGUGCGUGUAAUGUUAGACAAUGAGUUUUUUCAGUGUCAUUUUAUCUGAUGUUUGGAUAGCAAAUUU
RNAcentral lists this long non-coding RNA (584 nucleotides) under Coffea arabica (coffee). RNAcentral describes it as "long non-coding RNA (CARA_LNC007083)". Lineage: Eukaryota; Viridiplantae; Streptophyta; Magnoliopsida; Gentianales; Rubiaceae. The record is from RNAcentral.